RNAcentral lists this ribosomal RNA (607 nucleotides) under Pantoea sp. Its description in RNAcentral is "bacterial SSU rRNA". It matches the Rfam family "Bacterial small subunit ribosomal RNA", at positions 848 to 1455 of the family's 1533-position model. Lineage: Bacteria; Pseudomonadati; Pseudomonadota; Gammaproteobacteria; Enterobacterales; Erwiniaceae. The record is from RNAcentral.
GGAGCUAACGCGUUAAGUCGACCGCCUGGGGAGUACGGCCGCAAGGUUAAAACUCAAAUGAAUUGACGGGGGCCCGCACAAGCGGUGGAGCAUGUGGUUUAAUUCGAUGCAACGCGAAGAACCUUACCUACUCUUGACAUCCAGCGAACUUUCCAGAGAUGGAUUGGUGCCUUCGGGAACGCUGAGACAGGUGCUGCAUGGCUGUCGUCAGCUCGUGUUGUGAAAUGUUGGGUUAAGUCCCGCAACGAGCGCAACCCUUAUCCUUUGUUGCCAGCGAUUCGGUCGGGAACUCAAAGGAGACUGCCGGUGAUAAACCGGAGGAAGGUGGGGAUGACGUCAAGUCAUCAUGGCCCUUACGAGUAGGGCUACACACGUGCUACAAUGGCGCAUACAAAGAGAAGCGACCUCGCGAGAGCAAGCGGACCUCAUAAAGUGCGUCGUAGUCCGGAUCGGAGUCUGCAACUCGACUCCGUGAAGUCGGAAUCGCUAGUAAUCGUGGAUCAGAAUGCCACGGUGAAUACGUUCCCGGGCCUUGUACACACCGCCCGUCACACCAUGGGAGUGGGUUGCAAAAGAAGUAGGUAGCUUAACCUUCGGGAGGGCGCUU